Molecule: microRNA precursor, 82 nt
Filed under: Echinococcus granulosus
Lineage: Eukaryota; Metazoa; Platyhelminthes; Cestoda; Cyclophyllidea; Taeniidae
Description: microRNA egr-mir-184 precursor
Gene: egr-mir-184
Source: miRBase by way of RNAcentral
GAUUCCACAUUGUUAUACCUAUCACACUUCAGUCCAGUACGAAUUAUGUAUGGGACGGAAGUCUGAAAGGUUUAAACAUGUG